This 512-nucleotide long non-coding RNA is filed under the name Vitis vinifera (wine grape). Its description in RNAcentral is "long non-coding RNA (VVIN_LNC003983)". The record is from RNAcentral. Lineage: Eukaryota; Viridiplantae; Streptophyta; Magnoliopsida; Vitales; Vitaceae.
GGCAAGUGAUCAGAUGGUCAAAUGUGCUGGCCGUAGGGUGUUGCUAGCUCCGUCAUUGAGGCAGCCCUUUGCAAGUUAAAUACCAAAAUUGUCAGUUGUAGCUGCACCAUAUCUUGUUCAGUUGAAGCAUUUUUAUGCAAACAUGGGAUGCUUAUCAGCUAAGAAUGGGGUUUGGAUUUUGAUGUCCUGUGUAACAGAAAAAACCAGUACUAAAAUCAAACAAUGUUGUAGAAAGGAAGAAGGAAGCAAUAGUUGAACAGGGAAAGAUGAAUGGGAAGAGAAGGAAUAAAGAAGGAAGCAGAAAACUAGAUUGUACCAGAAUUGGAAUCUGUGAAUAUUUUAGAUGUUGUUGUACUGUAAACAUUUGUAUUAGUUGUUGAAGCCUAGAAUUUGCAUGCAUUUCUACCCAAGUUACCAACAUGUUACAUUGUGUGCUAUCUAAUCGAUAGAUUCCUGUCCACCUGUGAGGCACUACAAACCAAUGGCAGGGGAAAAAGUCAGCAAAAGCUUAC